GACGAACUUUGGCGGCGUGCUUAACACAUGCAAGUCGAACGGAAAGGCCCUGCUUUUGUGGGGUGCUCGAGUGGCGAACGGGUGAGUAACACGUGAGUAACCUGCCCUUGACUUUGGGAUAACUUCAGGAAACUGGGGCUAAUACCGGAUAGGAGCUCCUGCUGCAUGGUGGGGGUUGGAAAGUUUCGGCGGUUGGGGAUGGACUCGCGGCUUAUCAGCUUGUUGGUGGGGUAGUGGCUUACCAAGGCUUUGACGGGUAGCCGGCCUGAGAGGGUGACCGGCCACAUUGGGACUGAGAUACGGCCCAGACUCCUACGGGAGGCAGCAGUGGGGAAUAUUGCACAAUGGGCGGAAGCCUGAUGCAGCAACGCCGCGUGCGGGAUGACGGCCUUCGGGUUGUAAACCGCUUUCGCCUGUGACGAAGCGUGAGUGACGGUAAUGGGUAAAGAAGCACCGGCUAACUACGUGCCAGCAGCCGCGGUGAUACGUAGGGUGCGAGCGUUGUCCGGAUUUAUUGGGCGUAAAGGGCUCGCAGGUGGUUGAUCGCGUCGGAAGUGUAAUCUUGGGGCUUAACCCUGAGCGUGCUUUCGAUACGGGUUGACUUGAGGAGGGUAGGGGAGAAUGGAAUUCCUGGUGGAGCGGUGGAAUGCGCAGAUAUCAGGAGGAACACCAGUGGCGAAGGCGGUUCUCUGGGCCUUUCCUGACGCUGAGGAGCGAAAGCGUGGGGAGCGAACAGGCUUAGAUACCCUGGUAGUCCACGCUGUAAACGGUGGGUACUAGGUGUGGGGUCCAUUCCACGGGUUCCGUGCCGUAGCUAACGCUUUAAGUACCCCGCCUGGGGAGUACGGCCGCAAGGCUAAAACUCAAAGGAAUUGACGGGGCCCCGCACAAGCGGCGGAGCAUGCGGAUUAAUUCGAUGCAACGCGUAGAACCUUACCUGGGUUUGACAUGGAUCGGGAGUGCUCAGAGAUGGGUGUGCCUCUUUUGGGGUCGGUUCACAGGUGGUGCAUGCCUGUCGUCAGCUCGUGUCGUGAGAUGUUGGGUUAAGUCCCGCAACGAGCGCAACCCUUGUUCACUGUUGCCAGCACGUUAUGGUGGGGACUCAGUGGAGACCGCCGGGGUCAACUCGGAGGAAGGUGGGGAUGACGUCAAGUCAUCAUGCCCCUUAUGUCCAGGGCUUCACGCAUGCUACAAUGGCUGGUACAGAGAGUGGCGAGCCUGUGAGGGUGAGCGAAUCUCGGAAAGCCGGUCUCAGUUCGGAUUGGGGUCUGCAACUCGACCUCAUGAAGUCGGAGUCGCUAGUAAUCGCAGAUCAGCAACGCUGCGGUGAAUACGUUCCCGGGGCU
This 1346-nucleotide ribosomal RNA is filed under the name uncultured bacterium. RNAcentral's name for it is "partial 16S ribosomal RNA". It matches the Rfam family "Bacterial small subunit ribosomal RNA", at positions 28 to 1381 of the family's 1533-position model. The record is from RNAcentral.